AACGAACGCUGGCGGCAUGCCUAACACAUGCAAGUCGAACGAGACCUUCGGGUCUAGUGGCGCAAGGGUGCGUAACGCGUGGGAACCUGCCCUUAGGUUCGGAAUAACUCCCCGAAAGGGGUGCUAAUACCGGAUAAUGUCUUCGGACCAAAGAUUUAUCGCCUUUGGAUGGGCCCGCGUUGGAUUAGCUAGUUGGUAGGGUAAAAGCCUACCAAGGCGACGAUUCAUAGCUGGUCUGAGAGGAUGAUCAGCCACACUGGGACUGAGACACGGCCCAGACUCCUACGGGAGGCAGCAGUGGGGAAUAUUGGACAAUGGGCGAAAGCCUGAUCCAGCAAUGCCGCGUGAGUGAUGAAGGCCUUAGGGUUGUAAAGCUCUUUUACCCGGGAUGAUAAUGACAGUACCGGGAGAAUAAGCUCCGGCUAACUCCGUG
Molecule: ribosomal RNA, 433 nt
Filed under: uncultured bacterium
Lineage: Bacteria
Description: partial 16S ribosomal RNA
Rfam family: Bacterial small subunit ribosomal RNA
Source: RNAcentral